This 497-nucleotide ribosomal RNA is filed under the name uncultured bacterium. RNAcentral's name for it is "partial 16S ribosomal RNA". It matches the Rfam family "Bacterial small subunit ribosomal RNA", at positions 28 to 507 of the family's 1533-position model. The record is from RNAcentral.
GAUGAACGCUGGCGGCGUGCCUAAUACAUGCAAGUCGAGCGAACAGACGAGGAGCUUGCUCCUCUGACGUUAGCGGCGGACGGGUGAGUAACACGUGGAUAACCUACCUAUAAGACUGGGAUAACUUCGGGAAACCGGAGCUAAUACCGGAUAAUAUAUUGAACCGCAUGGUUCAAUAGUGAAAGACGGUUUUGCUGUCACUUAUAGAUGGAUCCGCGCCGCAUUAGCUAGUUGGUAAGGUAACGGCUUACCAUGGCAACGAUGCGUAGCCGACCUGAGAGGGUGAUCGGCCACAGUGGAACUGAGACACGGUCCAGACUCCUACGGGAGGCAGCAGUAGGGAAUCUUCCGCAAUGGGCGAAAGCUUGACGGAGCAACGCCGCGUGAGUGAUGAAGGUCUUCGGAUCGUAAAACUCUGUUAUUAGGGAAGAACAAAUGUGUAAGUAACUAUGCACGUCUUGACGGUACCUAAUCAGAAAGCCACGGCUAACUACGUG